Molecule: transfer RNA, 73 nt
Filed under: Dactylellina haptotyla CBS 200.50
Lineage: Eukaryota; Fungi; Ascomycota; Orbiliomycetes; Orbiliales; Orbiliaceae
Rfam family: tRNA
About the family: Transfer RNA (tRNA) molecules are approximately 80 nucleotides in length. Their secondary structure includes four short double-helical elements and three loops (D, anti-codon, and T loops). Further hydrogen bonds mediate the characteristic L-shaped molecular structure. tRNAs have two regions of fundamental functional importance: the anti-codon, which is responsible for specific mRNA codon recognition, and the 3' end, to which the tRNAs corresponding amino acid is attached (by aminoacyl-tRNA synthetases). tRNAs cope with the degeneracy of the genetic code in two manners: having more than one tRNA (with a specific anti-codon) for a particular amino acid; and 'wobble' base-pairing, i.e. permitting non-standard base-pairing at the 3rd anti-codon position.
Source: Rfam by way of RNAcentral
AGCCGCGUGGUGUAAUGGCAUCACACUCCUGCGGAAAUGGAGAGAUUUAUAGGUUCAAAUCCUAUCGUGGCUC